AAAAAAAUUAAAAAGGAAAAGAAAAGAAAUAGAAGGCAUCAAUCUCAAGCAAAAUCUCUCUAGAUUUUCCGUUCUGCAAAUCAAUUGAACGUGUUGCUUCGUAUCCUGAUGUAUUUGGACGAGCCUUGUGGUUCGCCCAGCCGGCAUGUGUGGGCAUAAGCCUUAGGCCAGGAACUGUGCUAGGUCUGGCUGUACCACGGAUUGUCGCCGGAAGCAGACGGCCUGCGUGUCAAGGGCCCCGGGCCAGAGGGGACACUCAUCAGACGUCCGCCUCCUCACUCAUUGCAGACAACCCCACCCGCAUCAUCAACAGUUGUCUCUGAUGCACUUUGGAAUCAACUGCCAUGCAGGUGUCUGAUUCACCCGGGGGCGGGGGCACAGCCUGUGGUGGGGGCGGGGGGUGGGGGAGGUGGGGGGGUGGGAGGUGGCUACAAAGAAAUUACUUUGACUAAGAAGCCCGAGCUAAGCAGACAGUUGCCACAGACGGUGGGGAGGGGAGGGGGCCUCAGUCUCAGCCCUGUUGACAUUUAGGGACAGAUAAUUCUGUGGGGGGGGGGGGGCUGACCUGUGCACUGUGGCGGGUUUAGCGGUCUCCCUGACCGCUACCCACUGGAGGCCCCCACCCCCAAGUGUGACAACUGAAGCAGCCUCCAGACCCUGCCAGAUGUCCCCUGGAGGCCGAGACGGGCCCCAGUCGAGAACCGGUGACUUAGAUGAUCGGCAUCUGCCCCCGAGACCUGCCAGAUCGUCCUGAGAACCAAAUGAAAGAGAGUACGGG
RNAcentral lists this long non-coding RNA (778 nucleotides) under Felis catus (domestic cat). RNAcentral describes it as "lncRNA (ENSFCAG00000042888.2)". Lineage: Eukaryota; Metazoa; Chordata; Mammalia; Carnivora; Felidae. The record is from RNAcentral.